UAUCCCAGUUUAAAUACAUUAAACAUUUGAGAAAUUAUAUCAACUUGAAAAAUAACAAGUGCAAGAUAAUUUAGGUAUUUAUCCUUCAUAAUAUAUGUUAAUUUCUGUGUGUAUAAGAGGGUUAUGUCAGAAGGCGGAGCUUAACACAGAAACACAUUAGUUCAGUGAUCAGCAUCACAUACAGCAUCACUCAGGCAAGCAGCAGCUACCAUCAUGUUCACUUGUGUCCUGAUAUUGCUGACUUUAACAGAAGGUAACAGAGCUAAAGAGGUCAUCACUCCAUACAGUGAUGCAGCAUUUGCCACUGAGACCGAGAGUGUGAAACUCUCUUGUAACUACAGCGGUUCUGUUGAUAGUCUUCACUGGUAUCGACAAUAUGCAGGUUCACCACCACAGUUCCUCAUACUGGAAACCUAUGGAACAGUUACUCCCGCUGAUCCUCCAGUUCCUGGAAUAUCCAUCAGUCACAGAAAAGAAGACAAAAGUGUGUAUCUGAUCAUCUCCUCUGCUGUAUCAGACUCUGCUCUGUAUUACUGUGCUCUGAGGCCCACAGUCACAGGAAACACAAGAACACUGUACAAAAACCUGUUACAAUGAGAGAAACACAGAGAUAGUGGGA
Molecule: non-coding RNA, 619 nt
Organism: Megalobrama amblycephala (Wuchang bream)
Lineage: Eukaryota; Metazoa; Chordata; Actinopteri; Cypriniformes; Xenocyprididae
Source: the annotation of a RefSeq genome assembly